UCUAUCUAAUAUUAUCAUUUCUAAUUUUAUUUCGUCUAAUCUUACCACACAUCCUAUCAUCAUAUAUGUUACAUUUACUUUAUUCUCGUGUUGAUUAGUGACGAAUAUUUCUAAUUUUUAAAAUUUCAAAACAUACAAAUUGAAGAUAGUUUUCAAAAUCACUUUUGUAAAACUAGAUAAUCAAAAAAGUUUUAUCAUCUUCAAAUUUAAAAAACAAAAUGAAACCACCUAUAAAAUUCUGAAUUAGGGAGGGACAACGGGUCAGGUAGGACGGUUUCGGACUCAACACCGAAACACCGACCAAAAUCAACCGGGGGUAGUUUUGAGAGAUCUAUUUCCGCCCACUUUUCUACGGAUUGACCGGGUUACGGGUUGAUCGGUUCCUGGUCAAGCAAAUGGUUUCAAACGGGUACAUCUCAAAUAUCUCAACAAGCAAGAAAAUAUAAAAAAUUUAGAUCAAAACAAAAGAAAUUAAUAAAACAAUAUAAAUAAUUUUAAAUCUAUGAACACUUCACAAAAGUAAAACUUGGAAAAAGAAAUUUAAGAUGUAGAAGAAGCACAAGAAGUGGCAUCGGAGUAUAUUGAAGCAAAUUUAAAAUAAGAAUAAGGGAAACCUUUUUGAAAGAAGUUGAUGGGGAUGAAAUUUCUAAAACACACAAUGAAGAGAGGGAGAAAAAGAGAUAUGCAUCUUUUAUGAUUUCACUUCAGAAGAUCAUGCAGGUCGACAUUCUACAACUAGCUGAAAACCACCUGCAAAAUCUCCACUCAAUGAAAGCUUAAAGAUUCAUGAGUACAUGUUAAAAGAAAGAAAGUUAGUAUUCAAUUGAAAAUGUGAAACAAAGAGUCACCAUGCUCAAGAUAAGUGCUUAUGAGAAGAACCAACCAGCUCUUAAAACACCAAAUGUGAAACAAAGAGUCAUACAUACUGCACAACAUCAUGGUUCUGAAUAAAGGUAGCAUUUUCAUUCUCAAGAAGAUAAAGUAAAACCAAUAGAAUAGUUAAAUUUUUGAAAUAAAGUCUAUUCACUAACCAAAAAUACAUAAAAGGAAGUAGGAAGCCACUGUAUAAAUUAUAUGUCACAAAAAAUGCAGAGCCCUCAGAUCUCAUACCUAAGCUUAUAAAUCAUCUGCGGCUUAUAUCACAGGUUUCAUUUCCAGCCUCUGUGCACCAUCUAAAAUAAAUAAAUAAAUAAAUAAACAAUGAAUGUAUACGUGGAGAUUGAAAGAAAGAGCGACUGAGAGAGAGACAAAUGAGAGAGAGACAAAGAGAAAGAGAAUGUGAGAAUCAAUGGUGCAGGUCAGGCUGUGAACAAAACCAUGUGGCCACUCAGUAGUCUAUUUGUUCAUCAUCGGGCAGUAAAACAUAGAAUGGAGCUAUAAACUGUACUUUAUGUCUUAAACCAAAAAAAUCAAAACGCACAAGCAAUGCAUAAUUUGUUGCGGCCUGAUCAGACUGAUGCAGGCUGUGCGGUCGUUGCGGUAUAUGAUGUGGCCGUUGCGGCAUUAGGUUUUAUAGUGGAUUUAGGAUCAACCGCAAUUGCAGCCCAAUGCGGAUACAGACAUUACCGCAAUCAAUUACCUUUCUAACUAACUUUCUAACUUCUAAUAGCAACAAUUCAAUAUCAAAUUGAUGCAAUCUAACUUGACAAACAAAAAAAAAAAAGCAACAGUCUUGGUAAUAAGAUCACAAUACAAUAAAUGAGAUGAAAUUUUAGAGCAAUAAAAUUAGAUUUAACAUACAAACCCUAAAUCUCAUAGCCAAGAAAUGAAUAAACAUACAGAGUAAUGUUCAAUUUUUUACUGAUUUCAUUCACAACCAUCUUGUAAUUUUCCAAAGCUGAAAAAGAAUAUUCUAACCUAACAGGCUUCCACUUAAAAUCAAUAAAGGGUUUUAAGAACUUAAGAAAAAGAAUUUAGAGAAUUACGUUGAGAAAGUACCUAUAACAUAUUCCUGACAAAGGUGAAAGGUAGAUGAUGCACAAAAAGAAUUAAUACACUGUAUAAAAAGCAAGUUCUUAUCAAGACACUGUAUAGG
This 2035-nucleotide long non-coding RNA is filed under the name Lathyrus oleraceus (garden pea). Its description in RNAcentral is "Pisum sativum (pea) long non-coding RNA (PSAT_LNC037073)". Lineage: Eukaryota; Viridiplantae; Streptophyta; Magnoliopsida; Fabales; Fabaceae. The record is from RNAcentral.